This is a long non-coding RNA of Leucoraja erinaceus (little skate), 1172 nucleotides long. RefSeq lists it as uncharacterized. The record is from RefSeq and is a predicted model, not a curated record. The transcript is spliced from 2 exons. NCBI's taxonomy places the organism in Eukaryota, Metazoa, Chordata, Chondrichthyes, Rajiformes, Rajidae.
GAGGAAGAUGAUAAUCUCCUCCCAUACCCCCUAUUCACCACAGAUAACAUCAAUGAUAAAUUCACUUUUCCUUUAACUUAAAGUGGUAAAAUUUCCCAAAGUGCAUCAUAUCAAUCAAUUCAGAUUAUAAUGGACGUUAACUCACAGAUGCAGACAUUCGGACAUACAACCUAAAAUUUGGUCGCAAAAUUAGAUUAUUUUAGUGGAUGUUACAGGCCAGAUAAAGAUGACAGUGGUUUCAAAGUAGAGAGAUCACAUGAUGUUUAAGGAAGCAAUUCCAGAACUUAAGUGUGGGCCAUUGACAGCACAGCUAUCAACAGUGUGAAAAAGUGGGAGAUGGGCAAAAUAGUCGUUCAUUGUGUACUUGGUAAAUUUGUAAAUCUGGAAGAAGUUAAGAGAUAAGGAUAGCAUAAACACAGAGAGGUCAGAAUAUAAGAGCGAGGAGUCACCACAGGUCAGUCAGCAUAAAAGUGAGAGAUUGAGAUCAAUCAUCCUGGGAAUUUGAAGCACAAAUUUUCAAAAGAAAAUAUAUUGAGGAAAACUUGGCAUUCUUGAUGAAUUAGACACCUGCAAUCCUAAUUUUGAAAGGAGUGGGGGAAUUACAUGGCCAUUGGUUCAGUUUCAGAUAGUAAUUAAGUAUCGACUUGUUAAUUAAGUCACACGUAACAUGUGAUUAUCUUUGGUACGAAUACAGAUGGAACAUAAUUAUACUAAGUAGUGUUAAUAAAUCAUGUAGAUUUUUCUGUGUCUGUAUAAUGACAUUGAUUGAUUAAUAGGUAUGUAAAUCAAAUAUAUUAUCCAAUACAUAAAUUUUCACAGUGCCCAUUUUUACAUUUGUCCUAUUGCAGGGUUAAUCCGUCAUUCCUGGAUCAAUCUGUUUGUCCGCGUCAGGCCACUUCAUAAUAAAAACAUGCAGAAGAAAUGGGAGAGGCAGGCAGGUUAUGUGUAGCAGAUUAUUGGAUCACCAUGACAUCAACAUUUAUUAUAAUAUUUAAUCAGAUGUGAUCAUUCCAAAUCAGAAAGAGAUAGGAUUAGCACUGUACUCUGAGAAAUGUGUUACUUGAUGGACAACUGAAGCCAAGCAAACCCUUCACAUUUGCAACUGAUUUUAACAAACUCUUCGGGCUCUGAUACACAAAUGGCUCAGUUAUGAAGGAUGAAAAUUAAUCUGG